UACGAAGGGGGCUAGCGUUACUCGGAAUGACUGGGCGUAAAGGGCGCGUAGGCGGCUUGGUUAGUUAGGCGUGAAAUUCCUGGGCUCAACCUGGGGGCUGCGCUUAAUACAGCUAGGCUGGAGUGUGAAAGAGGGUCGUGGAAUUCCCAGUGUAGAGGUGAAAUUCGUAGAUAUUGGGAAGAACACCGGUGGCGAAGGCGGCGACCUGGUUCAUUACUGACGCUGAGGCGCGAAAGCGUGGGGAUCAAACAGG
Molecule: ribosomal RNA, 253 nt
Filed under: uncultured bacterium
Lineage: Bacteria
Description: partial 16S ribosomal RNA
Rfam family: Bacterial small subunit ribosomal RNA
Source: RNAcentral